Molecule: long non-coding RNA, 781 nt
Filed under: Oncorhynchus kisutch (coho salmon)
Lineage: Eukaryota; Metazoa; Chordata; Actinopteri; Salmoniformes; Salmonidae
Description: lncRNA (ENSOKIG00005028286.1)
Source: RNAcentral
AGGUAAUACAUGAUAAAAGACACUAGAUAGGAGUAAUAUAUGAUAGAUAAUACAUGAUUUGAUCCAGAAGCUGAGUGGGAUUCCAGUAUUACAGUGAAAGGGUGGAAGUGACAGAGUACUCUCCUCUCCUCCACUGCAACGCUGUUUCCUCCCUCAGGUACUCUGUCUAUCCCAUCUCUCCACUUCUGUCUUUCAUAGUGGCUUCACUGACUGAUGGCUUUCUCUCGUGUGUGUGUGUGUGUGUGUGUGUGUGUGUGUGUGUGUGUGUGUGUGUGUGUGUGUGUGUGUGUGUGUGUGUGUGUAUUUUUAACUUAAUUUUUUUAAUAUUAUUUUUUUCAGGUUCAAUGGAAGAUGAGGGUCACAUCAAGUCAAACUCCUCCAGCUCAUCGUCUCUGCACAGACAUAUGGACAGACAUCACACCCAGAGGGGUCAUCUCAACUUCUCACCCUUCGGUGCAGGGGCUGCGCUCUAAGGCAGGGGACGCUGGGAGCACCCCUCACGUUUAGGGACGAGGUGAUCCAACAUCUGCGUGGGUGUGGAGGAAACGCGGGUGCUGACCUGGGGGAGGGGCGGGCUGACUGGAGGACCCAACGGGACACCAACGGAACACUACGAAACCCGGACAGUACGCUGGCCUGGGCCAAUAGGAGGUCCUCUCCAUAGUGGAAGAAUGACCGACCGACCACCCCUCUCCUCUCCUCACACAUCCUCUCCUGUCUACACCCUGCCUCCUGCCCCUCCCUCCUGCCCAGGUCUGCCACCCCAUUGGGCAAAGGACAG